Molecule: long non-coding RNA, 271 nt
Filed under: Apis dorsata (giant honeybee)
Lineage: Eukaryota; Metazoa; Arthropoda; Insecta; Hymenoptera; Apidae
Description: uncharacterized LOC102680425, transcript variant X2
Source: RNAcentral
UUCAAUAAUUAAAAUAGAAUUUCUAGUAUUUUUAAACUAGAAUAUUCUUAUUUCUAAUUCUAUCCGUGCAUGAUAACUUAAAAUCCAUGCAAUUUAUAUGCAUGAAAUUAGUAAUAUAUAGUAAUUUAUUCAUCGUGAAGUCGUAUGUUGUCCAGACAAGCAAUAAAAGCAAUAUUAGCAAGACAAAGGAAUGGUUAUUGAACGUGCAAGGGAAAAGCAGACAAAAGAAAUUAAUUUAUGGGAGUAGCAAGUUCAUCAGAUUAUUAAAUUA